Molecule: long non-coding RNA, 332 nt
Organism: Oreochromis niloticus (Nile tilapia)
Lineage: Eukaryota; Metazoa; Chordata; Actinopteri; Cichliformes; Cichlidae
Exons: 2
Source: RefSeq, a predicted model, not a curated record
CCUGCAGAAGGAGACACACAGGUGUGAACGAUGCUUGCAGUGUCCAGGUGCUGUCACCUGAAAAGUACAUUUAACAUCUGCAUUGUCUCUCACCUGGCGGGUACACCAGAGCGACAUUAUCUCCUUCCUCCAGACCGCCUCUCUCCAUCAGCAGAGCUGCCACUCCCUCCGCCGUCUGCAGACAGGUGCCCAGUUGUGCGUGGGUGUGCUGGUACCAGAGAGCUGAGCAGGGUUUGGAGAGGACGGGGUCCUGUGUGGUCUGAGCUCUCCACUGCAAACCUCGGACAGGAACAGAAACUGCAAGACAGACAUAAACACUUCUUUUACACACA